Molecule: RNA transcript, 4177 nt
Organism: Chenopodium quinoa (quinoa)
Lineage: Eukaryota; Viridiplantae; Streptophyta; Magnoliopsida; Caryophyllales; Amaranthaceae
Exons: 8
Source: RefSeq, a predicted model, not a curated record
GAUUGGGGGGAUGAGAAUCGAACCCCCAACCACUUGAGAGGGGGGGGGGGGGUGGGGGAUAAGGAUCGAACCCCCAACCACUUGGGGGGAGAUGGAGGGACUAACCAUCCCUCUAUUUCCUAGAGGACUUCUCUGCCUCGAGCUACUAGAUGUGUGGAAGCCUCUGGUAAGGUUAAAGUUGUCAAUAGCCACUAUGUUAGGACAUAACAUGCAUCAUCCAUUUGGUAAGGGCAGUAGAGUAAUUUUAUGUAUAAGGCUUGUUUCAGAAGCUUUAUGUUCUAGGGGGGCACGUGAAGCCUUUUCAAAUUUCAAGGAGGCUUUUCAAAUUUCAUUUUCAUCCCACACUCUCUCUCUCUAAGCAAGGGUUUACUCGGUUCCUUAUAGUGAGUGGUUGGUACUUCGUCGUCGUAGUGAGCAGAAUUUGGUGUUGUGAACGGUGUUUUAGCGAAAUUGGUGGGUGGUCUUGCAAAGAUAGUCGUGUGUUUAUUAGUAGCAGAACCAGGGUUACUGACAUGGUUCGUAAAAGGAGUGCCCCUACAGUUGGAAGUAGGGCAAAACUUGGGGUGAGUUGUAUUAUUUCAAUUUUAAGCAAUAAGGUUAUUGUUAGGAUGUAAUGUUAUGUUCCAUACAUAAUUGUGUGGUGAGUAAUGUGAUUAUUCUGUCCUUGGUAUGGUAAAAACAACUGACUAUGAAUGAAGUAGUGAUGGGGCAACUUGAGGUUGCAGAGAAAUCAAUAUCCGGCGUGCGUGGAGAAAGUAGUCGUGUGGUUGAAAGAAGACCAAAAAGAAAUCAAAAUGGUGAACCAGUUUUGAAUGGUCAGGUAAAUUACAUGGAACAAUUGAUUGCUGAAGAGUUUGGGGAACCCUGUGGGAUCAGAUGAGCAUGAUGCAUCAGAAAACGAUGAUCUGGCCAAAGGGCACUAAGGAUGAUGCAUCAGAAACUGAAGCAAGUUAUCGAGUAGAGGAUGAAGAGGUUGAUGUUGAUCAUGUAGAAGAUGAGUUUGUAACUAUGAAGAGUAAAAGAGCAAAGGGUAAAGGUGUAAGUGAGAGCAGUAGGCGUUCGGCAAUGGAUAAGCUAUGAAAAGUGAGGAAAGCUGUGUUGGGGAGACUGACUGAUCCACAAUAGCAGCAAGUGGUGCCCGAUAAUCGACUUUUGGGAGUGAUUGUGAAGGAGAAGGAGAGGGUUACUGAGACCCAAGUAUUCAAUUGCGUGAGGAGGCACAGCCUGCAAAUGUGAUAUGCCGUGUGGAUGCAUUUUCGAAAUUGAUAGCAGAAUUAGAUCCAUCUAGGCGUACUGUGGUGCAGGAGAUGGGCUUUGGUGCACUACCGAAUCUUAAAAUUAAUCGCUUGGAUCAAAAGUUUUGUUAUUGGUUGCUGACAAGGGUCAAUCCAGAUAGUUGUUUAAUGGUAUUUGGAGAUAGGAAGGACCUGCCUUUAUGUCUAAUACAGUGGAAUUUAGUGCUUGGCAUUUCUUACGGGUGUGAGACAGUGUCAUCGGUAUGUGAUGGGGUUGAUGAAACUAUGCAAGAAAGAAUUAGAGCUGUAGGAGCUUGGUUUGGGAAGGUAGAUGCUCGUGGAAGGACACAUCUAUCAGUAGGAGAAGCUGAGAAGGCGUUUGUCACAAAGUUGGAUAAAACUAAAGGAAAGUUAAGAACGGAGGAAGAUGUUAUGCACUUUAAGUUAGCCUUCCUUGUUGUUGGUUUAGGGCAGCUACUAUGCCCCAUAACUGAUGGGGGAAUCUGUCAAUUUAUUCUUUGCUUCUGACAAUUUCAGUUGCCGCGGAAGCAGAGAAUUAUAACUGGUGUGAUUUUGCCUUUGAUCGGUUGAUGGCGUAUGUGUCGAAGUUUAAGGCUAAGUUGAUAAGUACGGUUUUGUGGCGGGUGCGGUGGAUGUACAUAAUUUCUAAUGAUAAUUGAUCAGUUUACAUAUUUUGCAAAAAGCACUACUGUUUUAAUUAGUAGUUGUUAUUUAAUUUUAUUUAUAACUGUUAUAUUUUUGUGUAUGCAACUUUUUACAUUGAUCAUUUGAGUCUGACUCCACACUAUUGGAACGAGACUCCUCGGAUCAAUGUUUAGACAAUCGACAGUUAUGAGUGUUAUUGAAGCAAAUAGGAAGGCCUCUGGUGAUUAUGGGAAGGUGAAGGUGUGUAAGGAAAAAUGUUUUGGUUAAAUUAAUGGUUAAUGUAAAUGUUUUAGUUUUUGUUAAUUAAGGUGAAGAUGUUUGAUGUACAUUAUGAUUUCUAGUCCAUUGAUGUUGCUUAUGGAGAGAGGCAUCCUCGUAUAGCAAGGGGCAAAAGGGUUCCACCUGAUCUGAUGGGGAAGUCUAGUGAGGAUGUUAUAGUACGGAGGGUGUUGAGAGUGUUGGAUCCUCGACUAGACAAGAUUGAAAUGAUGUUAGAGAAACUGACAAAGAAGCGUGGUAAGGCGUUUGGCCCUUCUGAAAGAGUAGUACAACAAGUGAUUGGAAGUCCAACAAUGUUUCCUGAAAAAGAAAAAGGUGAAGGUGAUGUGGACUGUGGAGGAACCUGUUGGACCUCUUGCGGAUACUUAACGUAAAAUAGCAGCCGAAGCUAUUCAUUGUAAUGAAAAUGGUGUUGUAGGAGACAUGAACAAUGAGUCUGUAGUAGGUGGAGUUGGUAGCAAAGCUGGAGGUGAUGUUACAAAUGAAAAUGCAGUAGGGAGCAAUGUUUUUGCUAGGUAGAAAUUGAGGUAGGUAAAAUGAAUGAAGCAGAGACAGGAGCAGUUGGUGAAGUAGGAGGUCAAAGAAAUUGAGCAAAGAGAAUGUUGAGGCAGAGGGAGGAGGUGCCCCUGGAGAAGUGUCAAAGGGAGGAACUGAGAAUGUUGGGCUAGAGGGAGAAGUUGGUGAGAAUAAGAAAACUGGGAAAGCACCAAUGGAAAAGAGUGCAAGUAAACGAGUUCAUGGUGAAGUUGUUGUACCUGCUGAAAAGGCAAGGAUUUUGGGAGUGGUAGCGAGGAAGAUUUUAACAAUGAUCAGGAAUUUAUGUCCUAAGACAGACAAGACCCGGGGUAUAUCGUUAAUCGAGUGUGACGGUAUGGAUGCUACAACUACGGACUGUCAUGGAGUGCUGUUCAUGCGAGAUAGGGUAGGCUCCAAGUAUGUGAGUAUGGCUUCCAAGCUGUACACCUCUAAGUGGGCCAAACAAUAUAAGGGAAAGAGCAAGAGGAUCAUGAUUGAUGUAACUUUCUCGGAACGUGUGAUUGCUGAUGAGGAAACACCUGAGGUGGCAGCAACCAAACAUGGGGGGAUUUUGAAAGGUUUGAGUUGCAAAAAUAUUACAGUGGCGUCUGCAGUUGAUGUGUUGCCGAACACUUAUGACAAGUCUUGGACAUCGCCCACCGUAACAAAGUCGCCCACCCAAAAUGUGGAAGUGAAGCAAACUGAUAAGUAAGUUUGGUGUGCUAGAAAGUCCGUUUCCUUGCAAUAUUAUGUCUUUGCUAUUAAUGUUGAUGCCCUCCCCUGUUAUGUACAACAUAGUUGCGGAAUAAUUAUUUUGUUAUGUAUUAAAGAAUGUGGUUAUCGCUUCAUGGAACGAUUUUGAGUGGUAAAUAUUUUGCACGCAUCCAGUUUACAUAAUUUCUAAAAGUUGUUUUGAUAAAUUAGGAUUAAAUGUAACACUCUUCUCUUUUGUAAAAUAAUAAGACAGCUUGAAAGAUGCUAGGGAUGGUCUGCUAUUUGACGAUCUGCACAGUGAUUGUAAUGAAUUGAAGCCAAAAAUUGAAGCUAUGGUUUCUGAUGUGAAGGAGUUAAAGUAGAUAUGGGGUUUUUUUUUUUUUUUUGUGUAAAAAUUGUUAGGGUACUGGGUAUUCUGAAGUUGAACUAUGUAGUUAGUGUAUUUAUUUUACUGUGGGACAACAGUGUUGAAUUGAAUUGUGGUGUUGGUAUUGUGUACUUGGUUUAUUAUUACAAACCAGGUAAUGUUGGUGGUUUCUGACUAAGUAAGCAAACUUGAAGCUGUUGCUGCUUAGUUUAGUUUAAAUUCUAGGAUCUGGAUGUCUAACUAUUUUGACCAAUGGCUUAUUGUUUAAUAGCUGUUUAAUAUUUGGUAGGUUUAGGCUGUGUAUAAGCAGGUUUUUGAUGAACACGUAACUUUUGUAUCACAUGAGUGAACAGGUGUUAUUGUACAUUUUAAAGGGUAAGACUUAUUUAUAUAAUCUAAG